Molecule: long non-coding RNA, 258 nt
Organism: Rhineura floridana
Lineage: Eukaryota; Metazoa; Chordata; Lepidosauria; Squamata; Rhineuridae
Exons: 3
Source: RefSeq, a predicted model, not a curated record
CACUUGCGGAAGUCUCUCCUAGUACAGAUCCAGUCGUCCCCCAUGCUAUUAACAUUUGGAUAUCAACUUAAAAGAGAUUUCUUUGUUGCUCAGGAAGACGUAUAGAGGAUUUCUGUGAAUGACCCAACACAACCAGCAAACGUGGUGGCAGCUGAAGAGCCCCAAGAUGCUUUGUUUGUACAGGCAAGUGGCCCUUGGGUCUCUUUCCUCUUUUAGGAACAAAGGAAUCUGCCUUAUACCGACUCAGGCCAUUUGGUA